AUUUCUAGUUUUAGCUGAGUUGCUGCUGUUGUAUAUGUUGGUUGUUUCAAAACCUUGCAGGGUUAAAAAGGAUUGUGAGUAGCAGGGAGAGGUAACUGAAGUAGGUGGUUUGAACAGCCUUCUCUGCUGCUGAAGGCAUUUAAUUCAGUUGCCAUUCAGAGCAUCUACUUGUAUUCUGCAAGGUCGGUGGAGAAAAGAGGUUUUGUGAGUCAGCAACCUGAUGGAGGUGACAGACACAAGCCUCUGCCCAGUGGUGCUGCAUGGAGUGACAUGUGGCUUCAGGACAACCUUCUGGAAGGUGCCAGGAGCCUCUGUUGAACAUUCAGUGCCCUCAGAAUCCUGUUGGUAUGAGUGGGAACUGAAAACUUCUGGUACUGAAGAGGAGGGCUUUAACUCUGAGGUGCUGCAGACAAGAAAAUGCAUUCCUGUUCCAGAACCUCCAGGUGUACAUAAGGAAAGAAACUGGACAGAGCAGAUGGGCAAAGCAAGUAUCAGCAUGCACACCUUUUCACAGGGAGUAUGUAAUCGCCAGCAUUUCACCUGUGCAGAAUCAGACAGAACUUUCUCAUUGCAUCCAACAGUGCUCUCUGCUGGUUAUGGGAUCAAGAUGCCUUGGCUGGCGUUCGCCCCACAUAACUGUGAGAGCAGAAAAUAA
Molecule: long non-coding RNA, 655 nt
Filed under: Coturnix japonica (Japanese quail)
Lineage: Eukaryota; Metazoa; Chordata; Aves; Galliformes; Phasianidae
Description: lncRNA (ENSCJPG00005014760.1)
Source: RNAcentral